CCAUCGCCGCCUUGGCUAAGAUCAAGUGUAGUAUCUGUUCUUAUCAGUUUAAUAUCUGAUAUGUCCCUCUAUAUGGGGAUUAAAUAUUAAAUGCAUUUUGAGCAGUGGGAGGUGAAAACUCAGCUUGCUCUUCAAUUUUUGCAUUGACCUUACACAGUGCCACCAGGAACGGUGCACCAUUC
Solea senegalensis (Senegalese sole) is the source of this 182-nucleotide small nuclear RNA. RefSeq annotates it as U2 spliceosomal RNA. The record is from RefSeq and is a predicted model, not a curated record. The transcript has a single exon. Lineage: Eukaryota; Metazoa; Chordata; Actinopteri; Pleuronectiformes; Soleidae.